CAGAACAAGGCAAAGGCUGAUUACGAGAGCAAAAUGUGUAGCGCCCAGUGUCCACAGGUGUGUUUACAGAACUGCUGCUGUGAUUACCGUCAUUGUUAAUGAGCUAUCAUGGGAAUGUUUGUUUUCAUGAACUGUGGCCCAGUUUACAUCGAACUUUUUGUUGACUUCUGCUUGGUUACCAGAGUGCCACUGUCCAGGCCUGUCCCUAACAUUUGUGGGGCCUACAUCAAUAAUGCAAAUAGAGGCCCACAUACUUUAACAUCAUAAAUUCAGCCCACCACCAAUUUUAGGAGCAAUGUGAAUUAUUUAAUUUGAAAAUCUUCCUCACACCGUAUACAACUGUUAUGAACACAGCACUAUAUAAUGAGAGCCUCUGGAGACACACACUGGAACAUGAAGAGAAGUUAGGAAGCGAGUGCUCAGUAUGACUGGGGAAGUACAUUCUGUUACGUCAUGCCAGGCCACCUAUUGCAUUCAUGCUGAGAGGAAGGACUGGGCAAAUUAAUUUGUCUUUUCUUGAUCUAAGCACUUCCAACUCCAACUAUGCACACUGCUCCUCUCCAAUGCUACGCCUUCACAGCAUUCAGACAGCUGGCUUUGUUGUGAGGACACAGAGCAAAAAAGCUCCAGAGGUCUGUUUCCAUGGUUACCCAAAUUCCAGGCACUGGCCCCAGGCCCACCACAACGCAUCCCUCAAAGUCUCUUUGGCAGAGGAAAAACAUUUCUCCUUGCUGCGGCAAGUCAGAGCCAGAAUCUCGGGCUCUCCUGUUUCCAAAGCCCCCACUACACCCUCAUUCGUGUGUGAUUUGCAUGUUUAGGUGGUUCUGCUCAGCGUCGUUUUUUGGCAGGGGGGUGAAUAAGCACAAUAUAAGAGUUUCCUUCAUUUCUCUUCUCCUCAUUUGAGCUAAGGAAUUACUUUCUUGUACCAAACAUUACACCCUUGGAAAACACUCCAGAUGGUUCUCAUUAAAAUUCCAAUUCCUUUUUUUUUUUGCAAUUCAUUUUUCCCCAUUCUCCCCAAACUACUAUCUCAAAAAUAAACACCAGCCUGAAGAGCAAGUGAGGGGUCUGUGAAUAGCAGCUCCAGCGAAUGGACUCUGUCAGAGACCCGUGGUGUGGCCCUGAAGGGGCCUGCAGCUUCUCUUCUUGCCAAGGGUCACUUGGCCCUUCAUAGGGAUGCCAGGGGUAGCAGCCCCGUGGCUUCAUCACCGGAGAGAGUCCAAACACACAUGGGGGGCAUGUUUAUAGGGAUGAACAUGAACACACAGGGAUGCCGAGUGCAGCAACCCUGGGCACUGUCACCAGGGAGCGUCCAAACACAUGUAGGGGGGCAUGUUCGAUGGCAAAGGUGCCUUAAAGGGGCCAUGGGCUCUGCUGCCUCUGCAGGAAGAGGGGCAGAGGGCCAGCUAGGCCUCUGUUCCCCAACAGGCUGGGCCCAGACCAUGCCUUGCAGAGGGGCUGUCCACCUUGUUUAGUGUACAGGGAGGCCUCUGCAGAUUUCUAAAGACACUGGCCACAGGAGCGAGGCGAUACUUACUCUAACAAGCGUACAAGGAGAGAUUGCCAAUGCCUUUUGGCCAUAACUGAAGAUGAGCAAGUCACAGGCUUUGCUCCCACAUCUGGAAAAAUCUGCAUGCACAGGAAAAGAAUGUGUGUGUCCAAUGAUGUGUAUUUGAUGUGUUUUUAUUUCUAACUUUGUUAUGAAAAAUUUUAAAAGUACAGAAAAGUUGUAAGAAUGGUACAAUGAACAGCCAUAUCACUCCACUUAGAUCCAACGAAUGUUCCAUUUUGUCAUUUUUCCUUUCCCUCUCUCUCUUUCUAGAUACAUGGAGAGAUAAAUACAUACCCUUUGCUUAGACAUUUGAAAGUUGGGAUCUUGUCCCUAUAGCAUUUUAUAACCUAGUAAUCUAUGCAUUAAUGAAAUCAUAUAAUGCAGUCAUGCACUUCAUGACAAUGUUUUGGUAAACGAUAGACUACAUAUACAAUGGUGGUCCCAUAAGAUUAUAAUACCAGGUCAGGUGUGGUGGCUCCUGCCUGUCAUCUCAGCAUUUUGGGAUGCCAAGGUGGGUGGAUCACCUGAGGUCAGGAGUUCGAGACCAGCCUGGCCAACAUGAUGAAACCCUGUCUUGACUAAAAAAAAAAAAAUACAAAAAUUAGCUGGAUGCAAUGGUGUGCACCUGUAAUCACAGCUACUUGGGAGGCUGAGGCACGAGAAUCGCUUGCACCCAGGAGGUGGAGGUUGCACUGAGCCGAGAUCACACCACUGCACUCCAGCCUGGGCGACAGAGUGAGACUAAGUCUCCAAAAAAAAAAAAAAUUAGAAUACCAUAUUUUUACUGUAUCUUUUUAUGUUUAGAUAUAUUUAGGUACACAAGUAAUUACCACUGUGCUACAAUUGCCUACAGUAUUCAGUACAGUAACAUGCUGUGCAGGUUUGUGGCCUCGGAGCAAGAGGCUAUCCCAUAGAGCCUAGGUGUGCAGUAGGCUCUAGCACCUGGGUUUAUGUAACUGUGCUGUGUGAUGUUUGCACAACAACAAAAUCACUUAAUAAUGCAAAUGCAUUUCUCAGAACAUAUCCAUGUCAUUAAGUGACACAUGACUGUAUAUGAAUAUAUUCUUAUUGUAAAAUAUUCAGACAUCUGAAUAGUACAGACACAUAGAGUAUAAGCAAAACCCAGGCAUGAACCCCUCCUCAUCUCACCUUCCCCACUCCCCAGGGCUGCUUGGCUUGUGUCUCUCAUGAACUGUGAGUUUAUUUAGACAUACGUGUGUUUAGACAGAAAUAUAUAUUUUUGUGACAUGUGUUUUUAAACAUAAAUGAUAUAAUACUAUGCGUGCUGUUUUGCAGCUUAUUUUUCACUUGGAAAUGUGUCUGGGAUCUUUCCAUAUUAGUAUUUGGAGCUCUGCCUCGUUCUUUGACUACUGCAGAACAUGCCAAAGCAUGGUUGUAUAAUAAUUUCUUAAAUAUUCCCUCUUGAUGGGCAUUUCAGCUACUUAGUAUUAUUUUUCCAUUACUCACAGUGAUGCAUUUAAUAUCCUUGAGAAAUGUUGCCUUAAGGACAUGUACCAAUAUGUCUCUUUGACAGAUACCUAGAGGUGGGAUUACUGGGUUGGAUGAGAGGCACAUUUUACACUUGGA
Long non-coding RNA from Macaca mulatta (Rhesus monkey), 3139 nucleotides. NCBI's taxonomy places the organism in Eukaryota, Metazoa, Chordata, Mammalia, Primates, Cercopithecidae. The record is from Ensembl.